CUUGUCUAUAGAGGCUCUGCAAGUCUGGCUGCUGUGUCACAUGUGUAUAAGUAGGUGGUCGAGAGGAAAGAGACUAUCUCGAUACUCAGGGUUCUGACCUGUGAAUAUCUGAAUAAUUAGUAGCUUAACACU
Molecule: small nucleolar RNA, 132 nt
Organism: Arvicanthis niloticus (Nile rat)
Lineage: Eukaryota; Metazoa; Chordata; Mammalia; Rodentia; Muridae
Product: small nucleolar RNA SNORA17
Source: RefSeq, a predicted model, not a curated record